GUGACAUUAUGAAACGGUGACUGCACGCUAGAAUGCCAUUUCAGCUUUUCUAAUUCAUUUAGUUUCUUUUCUCCCCUCUUUAGCCACAGGAAAAGGCUGAAUUGCCCCCAGCCUGCCUUCUUCUCCCUCACGCAAGCAAAGCUUCACGGCGGCGGGCCUUGGUGGCACACUGGCACUCGAGCUUGACAGGGAGGGAGUUCGAACCGCGGCGAGGCAAAAUAGAAGGCACGGAUGCUUGAUUCCAUGGCAACAAACUUAAUUCAGGCAAACAUUAGCAUGACAUCCUCAUAUUGCUCCACGGGGCCUUCUUGUUUUCACAAAAAGCACCCAGUCAUCAUUAGCGAGCGCGAGGUCAAGUCUGUGAGAUGGGCAGUCUUGCGGCAAAUCUAGCUGCCGGUCGUCACAAGCUGCAGGCUGACCUCCAUCACUGGCCGUCGCAGGCCCCGCCAUUGGGGGACGCCGCCGCCGACUUUGCCUGCGCGAUGGCUCCUGGCCCAGCGAAUCAAGCCGGAGUUCGCUCCUCUUCUCCGGCAGUUGGGCCCGUGGCCCCGUGCUUCAUCGUCGGCGCGCUGCAGCACGCCGCUGCGGAGCGGUGGGACGCUGGCUGCUGACGAUUCAGGCGGGGCUAGGCGGGGCCGAGGCCCCGUAUAGCCCCGCGUUGGCCGGCGGUGGCCCAGCUCCGCUCGUUCGUCGUGAGAGAUAGAACAAGGCUGGAGGAACGGGAGAAGGAAGAAAGAUGAAGAUAAGGUUCGAUCCAGCGGCAUAAUGGUCUGUUCACGAGCCAUGAAGUAAAGGAAAUCUUUAAAUCAAUUAAAAGUAAAGAUGAUGAAAAGGCAUUUUGGCUAAUGGCCCCAGUUUUUA
Long non-coding RNA from Setaria italica (foxtail millet), 861 nucleotides. RefSeq lists it as uncharacterized. NCBI's taxonomy places the organism in Eukaryota, Viridiplantae, Streptophyta, Magnoliopsida, Poales, Poaceae. The record is from RefSeq and is a predicted model, not a curated record. The transcript is spliced from 2 exons.